RNAcentral lists this long non-coding RNA (330 nucleotides) under Olea europaea subsp. europaea. The record is from RNAcentral. Lineage: Eukaryota; Viridiplantae; Streptophyta; Magnoliopsida; Lamiales; Oleaceae.
GGGCUCCACUGCCGGGGAGAUGUAAGGCUAUUGUACGCACAAGAAUCCACUUUGAUCUUUCUGGUUAGCCCAGAGUAUGAGGGUGGCUGAGUACAUUUUCAUCUUCUCAUGUUUUGUGUGUUGUUUAUAUUAAUUCUUAAAAGAUUUUCUUCUGAUUUCUCUGUUUCUAAUUUGGAUCUUGCUAUGCAAUUGUACCCACUUUCUUGGACUUUCAGACCUGUAGAAGGUACUUGCUUUGAGUUGGAUCUACUACUAUGUUAAUUCUGGACCUUUUCUAACUACUUUUUACAUUGAAGUUCCAUGAAUGCUUUUGGUUUGCUUUUUGCCUCA